RNAcentral lists this ribosomal RNA (375 nucleotides) under uncultured bacterium. RNAcentral describes it as "bacterial SSU rRNA". It matches the Rfam family "Bacterial small subunit ribosomal RNA", at positions 523 to 898 of the family's 1533-position model. The record is from RNAcentral.
AUACGUAGGGGGCGAGCGUUGUCCGGAAUUACUGGGCGUAAAGCGCGCGCAGGCGGCUUGUUAAGUCAGGUGUCAAAAUGCGGGGCUCAACCCCGUAUCGCACUUGAAACUGGCAGGCUUGAGUGCAGGAGAGGGAAGUGGAAUUCCUAGUGUAGCGGUGAAAUGCGUAGAUAUUAGGAGGAACACCAGUGGCGAAGGCGACUUCCUGGACUGUAACUGACGCUGAGGCGCGAAAGCUAGGGGAGCAAACAGGAUUAGAUACCCUGGUAGUCCUAGCCGUAAACGAUGGGUACUAGGUGUUGGGGGUGACAAUCCUCCAGUGCCGCAGUUAACGCAUUAAGUACCCCGCCUGGGGAGUACGGCCGCAAGGCUGAA